AUCAGAGUCCCUGGAGGAAACCCCACAAUGACACAGGGGGAGCAUGCAAACUCCAUACACACGGAACUCGAGCGAAGACUUGAGUACACGUGCCAGAAGAGUGAGGCGACAGUGCAAACCCUGCUUUUUAUUAACUAUCCUUUCUCCUGUUUCCACUGCUCUCCUUUUCCCUGCACAUGAUGAAGGAGGAGGGGAUAAUGAAAAACGGAGGUGGGAGCAGGUUCUGGAUGCUGUACUGAAAGCUGGGACUGGUGUGUUUUACCUGAUUUGCACCAUCAUCACCAUUCAGCUGCACUGGACCUCCUGUAGAAAGCGGGAACCAAUCAGAGAGAAGCAGAGGGUCUCCCUGGAUCAGAGGAAGCUGGCAGAGGAGAUGACCUUCGUGGAGCAGAAUGAGUCAGACGAGCUGUAAAAUAAACGGUUAUGCUAACUGCAGUGAGGCCUCUCUCACUCGGCCCUGCUCAGUCUGUACAGUCAUAGCAUGAGAGUCAGUUAAACACAGAGGGGAUGAUUAUCUGCUGGCAACCUGUACAACCACGUAUUGGCCACUUAUUCACAAGUGCUUUGCUGCCACCUGCUGGUUAAUGUUUAAUAAUCGUUAUCUUGUGAAGGUAAGACUGGUUUUUAUUAAAUUGUCUCUUGAUUCUGAAAAAAUAUGGUACUAUGCAAAAGUCUUGUGCCAUCAAAGAAAACGUUUAAUGCUAUUUAAUUGGGUUGUGUAUAUUUGCUCAGAACAAAAACACAAUUAUCAUAAAAAUAUAUGCAAAUUAAAAGUGACACAAUAAAAACUAACAAGAAUUUCUUCUUUUCUCCAUAAAGUUACUGAUGCCUUGUUGGAUCGCUAGAUGAACCACGCUUUGGAUCCUAAACCUCUCCUCAGGGGCACCCCAGCCAUUCCAUGUAUUUGUUAAAUUCCGCCACCAGCUCACUUAAUUAAUUAAUUUAAUUAAACAAAUGUUAAUGAUGCAUUGAUUAGCCAUAGGAGUUAUGUUAUAAAAAUAUAUAGGUCUAUUGGAUGGUUGGUGCAAAUGUUUUACUAACUUUAGAAGAGAUUUUGAAAUGACUGGGCUGCCACACUUUGACGGACAAAAUAUUAUAAUUCUAGACCAAGAUGAAGAUCAUUUGAACAUCAUUUUCUUCGACAGCCCAAGACUUUUGUACAGUUUUGUAUGUGUCUUUUAUACUGGUCAUUAUUUGUUUAAAUACAUGAUUAAUAAAUUGAUACUUUACAAAACA
Molecule: long non-coding RNA, 1236 nt
Organism: Brienomyrus brachyistius
Lineage: Eukaryota; Metazoa; Chordata; Actinopteri; Osteoglossiformes; Mormyridae
Exons: 2
Source: RefSeq, a predicted model, not a curated record